ACUCAAAGGAAUUGACGGGGACCCGCACAAGCGGUGGAGUGUGUUCUUUAAUUCGAUGGUAAGCGAAAAACCUUACCCAGGCUUGAAAUCCUUGGAAGUUCUGCGAAAGCAGAGUGUGCCUUCGGGAACCAAGUGACAGGUGUUGCAUGGCCGUCGUCAGCUCGUGUCGUGAGAUGUUAGGUUAAGUCCUUCAACGAGCGCAACCCUUGUGAAUAGUUGAAUUUUUCUAUUCAGACUGCCCUAGUGAUAGGGAGGAAGGGGGGGAUGAGGUCAGGUCAGUAUUACCCUUACGUCUGGGGCUAGAAACACACUACAAUGGCCGGUACAAAGGGCUGCCAAGUCGCGAGACGGAGCAAAUCCCAUCAAAGCCGGUCUCAGUUCGGAUAGGAGGCUGAAACUCGCCUCCUUGAAGCUGGAAUCGCUAGUAACGGUAGGUCAGCAUACUACCGUGAAUACGUUCCCGGGUCUUGUACACACCGCCCGU
Molecule: ribosomal RNA, 484 nt
Filed under: uncultured bacterium
Lineage: Bacteria
Description: partial 16S ribosomal RNA
Rfam family: Bacterial small subunit ribosomal RNA
Source: RNAcentral